CGCGGUAGCUCAGUCAGGAAGAGCACCGGACGUUAAUCCGGGAGCGCGGGUUCGAAUCCCGUCCGCGACG
Molecule: transfer RNA, 70 nt
Filed under: Streptomyces sp. SID2119
Lineage: Bacteria; Bacillati; Actinomycetota; Actinomycetes; Kitasatosporales; Streptomycetaceae
Description: tRNA-OTHER
Rfam family: tRNA
About the family: Transfer RNA (tRNA) molecules are approximately 80 nucleotides in length. Their secondary structure includes four short double-helical elements and three loops (D, anti-codon, and T loops). Further hydrogen bonds mediate the characteristic L-shaped molecular structure. tRNAs have two regions of fundamental functional importance: the anti-codon, which is responsible for specific mRNA codon recognition, and the 3' end, to which the tRNAs corresponding amino acid is attached (by aminoacyl-tRNA synthetases). tRNAs cope with the degeneracy of the genetic code in two manners: having more than one tRNA (with a specific anti-codon) for a particular amino acid; and 'wobble' base-pairing, i.e. permitting non-standard base-pairing at the 3rd anti-codon position.
Source: RNAcentral